GUAGCUCCCCUCUGCUUUCGCCCCCCUCCCCUUUCACUUCUCCUUGCCCCAUACACAGUGCACAACUUCAUCAGCCCCCAGCAUCUUUCUUCAACCUCCUCUGGCGUUUUAAGUUUGCUUUUGCUCUUUCUGCUCUCUCCUCCUCUCUCUCUGUCUGUCUGUCUCUGCUGCUGGGCAAAAAAAAAGGAUCAGCGAUGCUGAACGAGCCGUGCCUUCAGUCAGGUUCCCCUAGCCUGGUUGCUCUCAGUCCCUGCCUGCUGGAUGUCGCGGUCAAACGAAUGCACAGCCUUCGUUAUUAAAGCGUAAAUGGGGAGCAACUUCAGGCCAGUGACAGAGAAUGCCAGUCCCCGCAAUUUGCUGCUCGAAUUUUGUCGCUCCACGCAAACAGAGUGCCACACUGUUACAGCGGAGAGUUGGCUGUGUUUGUGCGGUAGACCCAGACUAGACCGUGACAGAGGCAGCCACAGCAAGUAACUCCUUAUCAUACAAUGAAGAUUGAAAGAGAUCCAUAAAUUUGAAGAGGUC
Molecule: long non-coding RNA, 525 nt
Organism: Rhincodon typus (whale shark)
Lineage: Eukaryota; Metazoa; Chordata; Chondrichthyes; Orectolobiformes; Rhincodontidae
Exons: 3
Source: RefSeq, a predicted model, not a curated record